This is a long non-coding RNA of Saccostrea echinata, 619 nucleotides long. RefSeq lists it as uncharacterized. NCBI's taxonomy places the organism in Eukaryota, Metazoa, Mollusca, Bivalvia, Ostreida, Ostreidae. The record is from RefSeq and is a predicted model, not a curated record. The transcript has 3 exons.
UAAGACGUUCCAAAUGUCUCGUGCGGUUUGAAGAGGCGGGUCUUAAAAUGAAGUGAACAAUGCGCUCGCCCCAACGGUCGCACCGUCAACAUAUUAACUAUCUUUGGGUAUAAUUAUACGAGUAGCGAAUUGCAAGGCUACCGCUUGGGAUUUCUAUUUUUAGAGCGACUCUGAGCACUAGCGACAGUUUUCACUGGUACACCGCCCAAUCCCAGAAUGAAGUUGAGACAUCUGAGUUGUGUCCCCUCCUUUGUCAUAAUGCCAGCUAGUGUAAAGCUGAGAUUGAUCAAUGUACUCUAAGCUAACUAAGGACUGUGCUCUAGACCUGGUGUAUUCCUAAGGGAAUAGAGAGCCAACAGGUGAAUCACAACAAGCAACUACCUAAACAAAGUUGAGAAUCUGAGGGUGUCCUACCAAACCUAUCCUGUCCUGUUUGAAGAAUUCCAGGCCAAGAAAAGUGAUGCACAAACUUCUGCACUCUCUGCACAUUUACUUGUUUUUAAAUGUCUAAAAUUGUUUGAAAAAGUUUAAUUACUUACUGGUACCGUGUAUAUGUAUCCACAUUUCAACAAUGACAAAGUAAUUUAUUCCCAAGUCAAUAAAACAAUGUAUCAGUGUU